RNAcentral lists this transfer RNA (72 nucleotides) under Dendronephthya gigantea. RNAcentral's name for it is "tRNA-Lys". It matches the Rfam family "tRNA". From Rfam's summary of the family: Transfer RNA (tRNA) molecules are approximately 80 nucleotides in length. Their secondary structure includes four short double-helical elements and three loops (D, anti-codon, and T loops). Further hydrogen bonds mediate the characteristic L-shaped molecular structure. tRNAs have two regions of fundamental functional importance: the anti-codon, which is responsible for specific mRNA codon recognition, and the 3' end, to which the tRNAs corresponding amino acid is attached (by aminoacyl-tRNA synthetases). tRNAs cope with the degeneracy of the genetic code in two manners: having more than one tRNA (with a specific anti-codon) for a particular amino acid; and 'wobble' base-pairing, i.e. permitting non-standard base-pairing at the 3rd anti-codon position. The record is from RNAcentral. Lineage: Eukaryota; Metazoa; Cnidaria; Anthozoa; Malacalcyonacea; Nephtheidae.
GCCCGGUUGCUCAGUUGGUAGAGCAUCAGACUUUUAAUCUGAGGGCCAUGGGUUCGAGUCCCAUAUCGGGCU